This 468-nucleotide ribosomal RNA is filed under the name uncultured bacterium. Its description in RNAcentral is "partial 16S ribosomal RNA". It matches the Rfam family "Bacterial small subunit ribosomal RNA", at positions 28 to 507 of the family's 1533-position model. The record is from RNAcentral.
GACGAACGCUGGCGGCGUGCUUAACACAUGCAAGUCGAACGGAAAGGCCCUGCUUUUGUGGGGUGCUCGAGUGGCGAACGGGUGAGUAACACGUGAGUAACCUGCCCUUGACUUUGGGAUAACUUCAGGAAACUGGGGCUAAUACCGGAUAGGAGCUCCUGCUGCAUGGAGGGGGUUGGAAAGUUUCGGCGGGUGGGGAUGGACUCGCGGCUUAUCAGCUUGUUGGUGGGGGAGUGGCUGACCAAGGCUUUGACGGGUAGCCGGCCGGAGAGGGUGACCGGCCACCUUGGGACUGCGGUACGGACCAGACUCCUACGGGGGGCAGCAGUGGGGAAUAUUGUCCAAUGGGCGGAAGCCUGAUGCAGAAACGCCGCGUGCGGGAUGACGGCCUUCGGGUUGUAAACCGCUUUCGCCUGUGACGAAGCGUGAGUGACGGUAAUGGGUAAAGAAGCACCGGCUAACUACGUG